RNAcentral lists this ribosomal RNA (408 nucleotides) under Triticum aestivum (bread wheat). RNAcentral describes it as "partial small subunit ribosomal RNA". The record is from RNAcentral. Lineage: Eukaryota; Viridiplantae; Streptophyta; Magnoliopsida; Poales; Poaceae.
AUGUUUAAGGCCCAGGGCGGCCUUGGAUUUAGAGAUAUGAAUAGCUUCAAUGUUGCUAUGCUUUCCCGUCAGAUAUGGAGACUUAUACAAUGUCCAGAAAGUCUGUGUGCACAGAUUUUGAAGGCCCGCUACUUCCCAAACACACAUGUACUUGAUGCAUCACCGAGGGAUGGGAUCUCCUAUACCUGGAGAAGUCUAUUGCAUGGCCUUGAGCUUAUCAAACAGGGAUACAUUUGGCGAAUUGGGGACGGGUCCAAUGUCAGGAUUUGGAGUGAUCCAUGGAUCCCUAGACCGUGCUCACGCCAGAUUAUCACUCCGAGAGGAGGCAACUUGCUUGAUGCGGAGCAUCCCACGUUCAUCCCAUGCACACUCCGACUACUCUCCAAGCCCCAAGGCUACAUAAGAUGA